RNAcentral lists this ribosomal RNA (465 nucleotides) under uncultured bacterium. Its description in RNAcentral is "partial 16S ribosomal RNA". It matches the Rfam family "Bacterial small subunit ribosomal RNA", at positions 338 to 795 of the family's 1533-position model. The record is from RNAcentral.
CCUACGGGUGGCAGCAGUGGGGAAUAUUGCGCAAUGGGCGAAAGCCUGACGCAGCCACGCCGCGUGAGGGAUGAAGGUCUUCGGAUCGUAAACCUCUGUCAGCAGGGAAGAACGGUCACUGUGCUAAUCAGCAGUUAAUUGACGGUAACUGCAAAGGAAGCAACGGCUAACUCCGUGCCAGCAGCCGCGGUAAUACGGAGGGUGCGAGCGUUAAUCGGAAUUACUGGGCGUAAAGCGCUCGUAGGCGGUAUGUCAAGUCAAGGGUGAAAUCCCCGGGCUUAACGUGGGAACUGCCUUUGAAACUGGCAAACUGGAGUGUGUGAGAGGAUAGUAGAAUUCCAGGUGUAGGAGUGAAAUCCGUAGAGAUCUGGAGGAACAUCAGUGGCGAAGGCGACUAUCUGGCACAUAACUGACGCUGAGGUGCGAAAGCGUGGGUAGCAAACAGGAUUAGAUACCCUUGUAGUC